GAUCCGCUAGCUCAGCAGGUAGAGCACUUCCCUUUUAAGGAAGGGGUCUUGGGUUCGAACCCCAAGCGGAUCA
This 73-nucleotide transfer RNA is filed under the name Candidatus Faecinaster equi. RNAcentral describes it as "tRNA-Lys". It matches the Rfam family "tRNA". Rfam says of the family: Transfer RNA (tRNA) molecules are approximately 80 nucleotides in length. The record is from RNAcentral. Lineage: Bacteria; Pseudomonadati; Bacteroidota; Bacteroidia; Bacteroidales; Bacteroidaceae.